UCGGGAAUUUUGGGCAAUGGGGGAAACCCUGACCCAGCAACGCCGCGUGAAGGAUGAAGUAUUUCGGUAUGUAAACUUCGAAAGAAUAGGAAGAAUAAAUGACGGUACUAUUUAUAAGGUCCGGCUAACUACGUGCCAGCAGCCGCGGUAAUACGUAGGGACCAAGCGUUGUUCGGAUUUACUGGGCGUAAAGGGCGCGUAGGCGGCAUGACAAGUCACUUGUGAAAUCUCUGGGCUUAACCCAGAACGGCCAAGUGAUACUGUCGCGCUAGAGUGCAGAAGGGGCAAUCGGAAUUCUUGGUGUAGCGGUGAAAUGCGUAGAUAUCAAGAGGAACACCUGAGGUGAAGACGGGUUGCUGGGCUGACACUGACGCUGAGGCGCGAAAGCCAGGGGAGCAAACGGGAUUAGAUACCCACGUAGUCCCUGAGCGGGC
Molecule: ribosomal RNA, 434 nt
Filed under: uncultured bacterium
Lineage: Bacteria
Description: bacterial SSU rRNA
Rfam family: Bacterial small subunit ribosomal RNA
Source: RNAcentral